UACAGAGGAGCCAAGCGUUGUCCGGAUUUACUGGGCGUAAAGAGCGCGCAGGCGGUCAGAUAAGUCGAAUGUGAAAGCCCCCGGCUCAACUGGGGAGGGUCAUUCGAUACUGUUCGACUCGAAGGCAGGAGAGGGAAGCGGAAUUCCCGGUGUAGUGGUGAAAUGCGUAGAUAUCGGGAGGAACACCAGUGGCGAAGGCGGCUUCCUGGCCUGUUCUUGACGCUGAGGCGCGAAAGCUAGGGGAGCAAACGGG
Molecule: ribosomal RNA, 253 nt
Filed under: uncultured bacterium
Lineage: Bacteria
Description: partial 16S ribosomal RNA
Rfam family: Bacterial small subunit ribosomal RNA
Source: RNAcentral